RNAcentral lists this ribosomal RNA (231 nucleotides) under uncultured bacterium. RNAcentral describes it as "partial 16S ribosomal RNA". It matches the Rfam family "Bacterial small subunit ribosomal RNA", at positions 15 to 236 of the family's 1533-position model. The record is from RNAcentral.
GAUCAUGGCUCAGGAUGAACGCUAGCUACAGGCUUAACACAUGCAAGUCGAGGGGAAACGGCAUUGAGUGCUUGCACUCUUUGGACGUCGACCGGCGCACGGGUGAGUAACGCGUAUCCAACCUUCCCAUUACUGUGGGAUAACCUGCCGAAAGGCAGACUAAUACCGCAUAGUCUUCGAUGACGGCAUCAGAUUUGAAGUAAAGAUUUAUCGGUAAUGGAUGGGAUGCGU